UUCCUGUUGUCAUGUGUGGGCCUUUUGUAGCUGUCUAUACAGUUUGGUUUUUGUUGCUCAUUGUUGAAGGUCUUAUGGUGAACUAUAGAUGCUUACUUCCACAUCUCCUUAUUUUUAUAUUCUACAUUGGGAUAGACCUAUGACUUUUUAAUCAGGUGGAGAUCAGUUUGAAAGAACAAACUAAUAGGUCUCAUGUUUCUCAAAUAAAAGAUUGAUUAAUAGAUUUUUGGUGUUUUAACGCCACUUUUAAGCUCCGCAUUUAGGCUUUUUCGUGGUAACAAGUUUUUAUUGAUGGAGGAAGCCAGGAUGCCCAGAGAAAACCACCGACCUUCAAUAGGUAAACUGACAAUCCUAGUCAAUUAAGAUUAUAGUCGAGUGCACCCACAUGAGUUGGGUUCAAACUCACAACCCCAGUGUUGACUGGCUAGUGAUUACAGUAGUAACUACUAAACACUCGGCCACUGAGGCAGGGCUUCCAAAAAAUAUUUGAGCCAGCCGGACAUUUCAUAUCUGAUCCCGAUUUUAAUUCCUUAAGACUUAGUCACAAAAGGCAAUAGUAUGGUAAUCAGACGGCCAUUCCAAUGAUUGACAUACAUGAAAAAAAAAUUUUAAACUUUACUUUGAUAUGAUAUGAAUUUGAUGUUCGGAUGUAACUGUUAAAUUGGCAGUGCAUCAUUCAAAGUGUGCACAUCAGCGUGCUCCUAUCUGCCUUAGACUUUUUAUUUGUGCAAAAUGACAUUGUCAAAAACUUUACUUUCGUUUUCAACCGGAUGUUGACUUGACAAUGGUAAAACAUGGACCAUAAACGGAUACGUAAAAUCCGUGUACGUUUACAAAGCACGACUGAGAGAAGAAGCUCUUUCCACGUUAUUUCUUCAACAAAAUACUUGAAUUGAACGUUAGAUACAGGUAUCAAUGAUAAUUUUAGCAUUUUUAAAGAAAUGUAGGAUGCAUUAUUGAAUUUCCCACCUGUGCACAUGCGCACACGUGUUCUAGUUCAUACGACGUAGUUCUGACGAUUUUUUAUUUAAAACCUUUUUAUAAAAUUUUUCAUCAAAUCAUGUUGAUAAACUAAUUUCUAAUAAUUUUAAUCUUUUGGACUAAAUCAAUUAGAUACAAACCGCUGAAAUGUAAGAAAAUAAAUUGUGAAUAAACCGAUCAAUUUAUACGAUGUCCGGUACUGAACAUAGUUCACCUGUCACCUGAACAGGUAGAUUUCAGCUGUCCUACUACUAAUUAGCCUUGAUUAGAAUUAGAAGGUAUUGAAGUAGGUGUUGUUUUGAUAGUAAUUAAUCAUCAUGUCACAUUUAUGACCGGAAAUGUGUUGAUGUUAAAGGCAAAAAGUUGGGUCAAAAAGAUCGUGAAUUAUGUAAAAAUGACCGAAAAAGCCUUGAAAACUAAAAAGUAUAUGACCGUUCAUGCUUUGCCCAGCCGGACUUUUACCGGACAUUAUACAAAUGACCGGAAUAUAUGACCGUUUUGGAAGCCUUGCACUGAGGCCAUCUCAAAUAAAAGAAGAAAAUUUUAAAUAUGUUUUAAUUUCUUUUUUUCUCCUGUAAAAAAUCUACACAGAUACCUAGAAACAUGACUUUUGCUACUUUUCCAUCAAUCAUUUUGAAAGAAUCUAUUGAAGAUAUCAUGUGUGAUUGCGUGCUUUUUUCUCGUUUUCAUGGACAGCAAUGACAACCAAAUAAAACCCAAACUGUAUAUGUAACUAAUAAUUUCAUAAUUAAAUAAUAAAACCAUAAAAAGGAUUAAAAAAACUCUGUAGUUAUCAAUGACAUAGGAACAGACAUGUGCAAAACUAUAUUGUCUGUAAGUCUAUAAACCCAGGGAUAAUACAAAAGCUGUAAAAAUCUAGUGAUCUUGUCUUUCAUCAUAUAUUUUGUUAUGCAGUGUUCUAUAAAUAGAUCAUCACAAUAAAUCAGAAUAUUGGGACUAGCUGAUAUUUAAGUACUUGCCUUCUCAACACAUUAAUAAUUCAAACAGGACCAGAAAAGCAGUUGACAUUUAUAAAUUAUCGUUGAUCAUCUCAAUGAGAUUGAUUUUCUUGCUUGAGCCGGCAUUGCAAAAGUGAGAACAGCAAUCGAGUUAAGAUGACAAAUGAUAAUCUGUUUAUCGCUAUUACCUAUGACAAAGUUGUCAAUUUCAUUAGCAACACCACAUGCCCCUUUUGUUUCUAGCAAUAAUUUUCAUAUCAAUUGACUCCGCUUAGAAAGGAAAUUAUCAGUCAACAAGAUCAAAGGAAAAUUUCAUAAAAAAGCGAUAAUACUUGUUACAGAUUAAUUGUUGGUGUUUAACACUACUUUCAACACUCUUGGAUAGCUCUUGGAUAGCAUGUUUAAUAUUAGUGGAGGAAGACCAAGUCAUCAGAGAAAUAAUUAGAACAAUGCAUUUUGAUGUAAGGCAUGAAUUAAUAUAUGAGGCUUAGAAAUAAACAGUUAAAAAUUCAUUGCAUAUAGUCUGAUAUGAAAAAUCAAAUAAAAAGCACAAAUAAAUGAUAAUAAAAUACAGAAA
RNAcentral lists this long non-coding RNA (2517 nucleotides) under Mytilus galloprovincialis (Mediterranean mussel). Lineage: Eukaryota; Metazoa; Mollusca; Bivalvia; Mytilida; Mytilidae. The record is from RNAcentral.